This is a non-coding RNA of Nicotiana tabacum (common tobacco), 2200 nucleotides long. NCBI's taxonomy places the organism in Eukaryota, Viridiplantae, Streptophyta, Magnoliopsida, Solanales, Solanaceae. The record is from RefSeq and is a predicted model, not a curated record.
ACAACCCUCAACUCUCGUGACCACCCCUCCUAAAUAAAACACUUCUCUCCGUUUUAUCAAAAUUGAGAACAAGAUAACUUCUCUCUGUUUUAUCAAUUGAGAACGAGACAAAUUGCAGUUACAAGAAUACACGCACGUAGCUAGCUUUGAGCUAUCAAAGAUCUGCAAAGAAUCACAAGUUGGCUUCUUCUUUACAACCUAGGGUUUUAUUUUCCUUCUUGUCAAGGCUGACAUGAAUCCAUCAAAAUCUCAGAAGUUUGAAAUGGUAUCAACUUCGAAGACUGUUAAGCAUGCAUACGUUCCACUUGGUGCCUUAGCAAGGGGACGAGGGAAAAGCUUCAGAGCUUUUGGUUCUGUAAGAGUAAACGCUGAACAGAGAAUUUCGAUUGGCAAAAAUAAAAAUUAUAUUGUAGUAGCUUCUGAUCAGAAUAAGCUAGCUCAGAAGGAUAGUAUUGGGCCUCCUGGUUUUGAUCCAAUACUGGAAUGUGAUGCUUCCCUCCCUGAUGAAGAAGCGAUGGAAGGCACUCGGAGAAGCGAAAUAAGUCCAUAUGAAUUUGAAAAGGCCAAAAAAGUAAGAGUAAACGCUGAACAUAGAACUUCGAUUCGCAAAAAUAAAAACUAUAAUGCAGUAGCUUCUAAUCAGAAUAAGCUAGCUCAGAAGGAUAGUCUUGGGCCUCCUGGUUUUGAUCCAAUAUUGGAAUUUGAUGCUUCCUUCCCUAAUGAAGAAGCGAUGCAAGGCACUCAGAGAAGCAAAACAAGUCCAUAUGAAUAUGAAAGGCCAAAAAAGUAAGAGUAAACGUUGAACAGAGAACUUCGAUUGGCAAAAAUAAAAACUAUAAUGCAGUAACUUCUAAUCAGAAUAAGCUAGCUCAGAAGGAUAGUCUUGGGCCUCCUAGUUUUGAUCCAAUAUUGGAAUGUGAUGCUUCCUUCCCUAAUGAAGAAGCGAUGCAAGGCACUCAGAGAAGCGAAAUAAGGUCACAUGAAUCUGAAAAGGCCAAAAAAGUGAGGAAAAAACAGGUGUAAAAAAGUUGCAGGACUCGAAGCAGGAGAAAAGUUGAGAGUCACUUUUUACCACAAUCGAGUUGUUGGGAAGCAUCAUGCCUUAUUUACGAGACACUUAGGUGUAUUAGUUCGUGAUCGUAAUAUGUGCCCAUUGCGCAUACACUCAUGGACGGAAAUCGAAGAAUAUAAGCUGGAGCACAUGUGGCAAGCUAUUAAUGACAAAUUUGAUAGUGAUAACAUAAAUGAUCAACAAGAUCAUGUCUUGAAACAUAUGUGAAAGUUAUGGAAUAAUUGGAGAGGAUCGAUGCACAAGAACAUAUAGUAUAAGCCAUUCCGCGAUGCUUUAAGAGAUGUGCCAGAGGGGGUAGACAAGAGUGAUUGGGAAUGGCUGGUCAAAGAGCAUUUUUUAACUGAAAAAUUUAAGGAAACAAGUACAAGAAACUCGAUCAAUAGGUCUAAGUUGACUAUGCCUCAUCGUACGGGUAGUAAGCCUAUUCGAGAGAUCAUUUAUGAAUUGGGAGGCAAAGACGGAAACCCCCCAGAUAUGGCAACUAUCUUUUUUGAGACUCGUAAGAAGGACGACAAGCUUGUCGAACCUGAAACCAAUGAAAAAUAUGCAAAAAUCCAAGAACUUGUGCAAUCUGAAUCGUCUCUUACAAACAUUGAGGUCGUAGAAAGGUGCUUCGGACCUCAACGCAAGAGUCAUGUAGUUGGAUUUGGUGGUGGAAUUACUGCUAAGGAGUUAAAAGGUGGUAACUCCUCAAAAGCUGCAUUGUUGGAAAAGCUGAGUGCUACUGAAAAAGAAAAUGAAUAACUAAAAGGACGCAUGGAAGGGCUAGAGAGUAAAUGCGAAGUUCUAAAGAGUAAAUAUACACAACUUGCAAGUGCAGUGUUUAAACAGGCUUCAUCAUCAUCUUCAAGUGAACAAUAGAUUGAAGCAUUUAACAGAUCAAAAACUUGGAAGUCUGAAGAACCUAUUGUUGAAGAAAGUGCACAUCAAGUUGAAGAACAAGAGAAUUUUGUUAUGUUAGGGAUGGUUUGAAGGCACUGUCUUAUGUACAUAUGCUGCAAUUUUUUUUCUCUUUUUAGGAAUUGUUAAAAAUGAUGUUAUAGUAUUUGGAUUGCUUUCUGGUAAUGUGAUGAUGUUAUACUAUUUGAAUUUCUUUCUGCUAAUGUGAUGCUUAGAUCUUUGUAUUAA